AGCCCUACCCGCACUGUCUUCCUUCCCACCCAAGUCACCCUGGUUCCAGGACCAAGAGACAGAGAGAUACGCUCAGCUGGUUUCGGGCAGGAUUUAUUGGAAAAGGCCAUAGCAUGCCUCCUAACUGAGCCCUUGAGACAGGGCUCCCCUGUCCCAGCUGUCUGAACCUCUCCUAAUGUCUCUCACCAUUUCCGCUUCUCCUAUAUCCUCCCACCUUGCAGAUCCCCAGCAACAUGAGGCCUUCUUGGUCUAUGAGAAGCCACCCUCCCAUCCUCAGCCAGAGCCUCCUCCACAGACGGCUCCAGAGAUGUUCCCUGCUGUAUUAGUCUGUUCUCGCACUGCUGUAAAGAACUACCUGAGAUUGGGAUUUCAGACAAAAAUCAGGAAUCGUCACCAGCCAAGACUGUGUUCUGACCAUGUGACGUCUUCCAGGCACCAGGAAGAAAUAUGACCAAUCUCCGUAACAAAUGAGAGAAGCUUCACCUGACUGUGUUCUGUGUAUUUGGUUUAUUAGUCUUUUUAAAAACGUGUACUUGUACUGCUGGGUUCAGGUUUUCAACCAUAGAAUAUUCUAGAAAAAAUAGUGAUAACGUUUAUUUCACCGCUCUAACCCUGAAUGUGCAGCUGUGUUUUUCCAAAAAACAUUUUUUUUUACAAUUGUAGAAUAUGUAACAUGCAUCCAGAAAUGUGCCCUAAACACAAACAUAUGAUUUGGCAAAUAAUUACAUAGCAAGUCCCACGUUACUGUCAUCUCAUCUAGAAAUCAUUGUCCUUCCAGAAGCCCCUCACGUGCUCUGGCCAUCCCAAAUCCCUCCCUGCCCCAGGGAUAAAUAAUAUUCCAUUUUGUUUAUUAACCAACUAUGAAUUUCUCAACACAGUAGAUUUGAUUAUGUUUGACUCUUAUAUGAAUGCAAUCC
Molecule: long non-coding RNA, 917 nt
Filed under: Piliocolobus tephrosceles (Ugandan red Colobus)
Lineage: Eukaryota; Metazoa; Chordata; Mammalia; Primates; Cercopithecidae
Description: lncRNA (ENSPTEG00000038307.1)
Source: RNAcentral